Molecule: unclassified non-coding RNA, 336 nt
Filed under: soil metagenome
Description: partial contains 5.8S ribosomal RNA, internal transcribed spacer 2, and large subunit ribosomal RNA
Rfam family: 5.8S ribosomal RNA (bases 2-119)
Source: RNAcentral
GUGAAGAACGUAGCGAAAUGCGAUAAGUAGUGUGAAUUGCAGAAUUCAGUGAAUCAUCGAAUCUUUGAACGCACAUUGCGCCCCUUGGUAUUCCAUGGGGCAUGCCUGUUCGAGCGUCAUUUGUACCUUCAAGCCUUGCUUGGUGUUGGGUGUUUGUCUCGCCUCUGCGCGCAGACUCGCCUCAAAACAAUUGGCAGCCGGCGUAUUGAUUUCGGAGCGCAGUACAUCUCGCGCUUUGCACUCAGAACGACGACGUCCAAAAGUACAUUUUUACACUCUUGACCUCGGAUCAGGUAGGGAUACCCGCUGAACUUAAGCAUAUCAAUAAGCGGAGGA